AGAGUUUGAUCAUGGCUCAGAGCGAACGCUGGCGGCAGGCUUAACACAUGCAAGUCGAGCGGGCGUAGCAAUACGUCAGCGGCAGACGGGUGAGUAACGCGUGGGAACGUACCUUUUGGUUCGGAACAACACAGGGAAACUUGUGCUAAUACCGGAUAAGCCCUUACGGGGAAAGAUUUAUCGCCGAAAGAUCGGCCCGCGUCUGAUUAGCUAGUUGGUGAGGUAAUGGCUCACCAAGGCGACGAUCAGUAGCUGGUCUGAGAGGAUGAUCAGCCACAUUGGGACUGAGACACGGCCCAAACUCCUACGGGAGGCAGCAGUGGGGAAUAUUGGACAAUGGGCGCAAGCCUGAUCCAGCCAUGCCGCGUGAGUGAUGAAGGCCCUAGGGUUGUAAAGCUCUUUUGUGCGGGAAGAUAAUGACGGUACCGCAAGAAUAAGCCCCGGCUAACUUCGUGCCAGCAGCCGCGGUAAUACGAAGGGGGCUAGUGUUGCUCGGAAUCACUGGGCGUAAAGGGUGCGUAGGCGGGUCUUUAAGUCAGGGGUGAAAUCCUGGAGCUCAACUCCAGAACUGCCUUUGAUACUGAGGAUCUUGAGUUCGGGAGAGGUGAGUGGAACUGCGAGUGUAGAGGUGAAAUUCGUAGAUAUUCGCAAGAACACCAGUGGCGAAGGCGGCUCACUGGCCCGAUACUGACGCUGAGGCACGAAAGCGUGGGGAGCAAACAGGAUUAGAUACCCUAGUAGUCC
Molecule: ribosomal RNA, 744 nt
Filed under: uncultured bacterium
Lineage: Bacteria
Description: bacterial SSU rRNA
Rfam family: Bacterial small subunit ribosomal RNA
Source: RNAcentral